Molecule: ribosomal RNA, 497 nt
Filed under: uncultured bacterium
Lineage: Bacteria
Description: partial 16S ribosomal RNA
Rfam family: Bacterial small subunit ribosomal RNA
Source: RNAcentral
GAUGAACGCUGGCGGCGUGCCUAAUACAUGCAAGUCGAGCGAACAGACGAGGAGCUUGCUCCUCUGACGUUAGCGGCGGACGGGUGAGUAACACGUGGAUAACCUACCUAUAAGACUGGGAUAACUUCGGGAAACCGGAGCUAAUACCGGAUAAUAUAUUGAACCGCAUGGUUCAAUAGUGAAAGACGGUUUUGCUGUCACUUAUAGAUGGAUCCGCGCCGCAUUAGCUAGUUGGUAAGGUAACGGCUUACCAAGGCGACGAUGCGUAGCCGACCUGAGAGGGUGAUCGGCCACACUGGAACUGAGACACGGUCCAGACUCCUACGGGAGGCAGCAGUAGGGAAUCUUCCGCAAUGGGCGAAAGCCUGACGGAGCAACGCCGCGUGAGUGAUGUAGGUCUUCGGAUCGUAAAACUCUGUUAUUAGGGAAGAACAAAUGUGUAAGUAACUAUGCACGUCUUGACGGUACCCAAUCAGAAAGCCACGGCUAACUACGUG